RNAcentral lists this ribosomal RNA (644 nucleotides) under Schwanniomyces pseudopolymorphus. RNAcentral's name for it is "eukaryotic LSU rRNA". The stretch from base 243 to 396 matches the Rfam family "5.8S ribosomal RNA". Lineage: Eukaryota; Fungi; Ascomycota; Pichiomycetes; Serinales; Debaryomycetaceae. The record is from RNAcentral.
AAAACGUAACAAGGUUUCCCUAGGUGAACCUGCGGAAGGAUCAUUACAGUAUUCUUUUUGCCAGCGCUUAAUUGCGCGGCGAAAAAACCUUACACACUAUGUUUUUUGUUAUUACAAGAACUAUUGCUUUGGUCUGUCUCUAGAAAAAGAUUUGGGCCAGAGGUUUAACUAAACUUCAAAUUUAUAUUGAAAUGUUUUUAAAUUAAAUGUCAAAUUGUUGAUUAAAUUCAAAAAAACUUCAAAACUUUCAACAACGGAUCUCUUGGUUCUCGCAUCGAUGAAGAACGCAGCGAAAAGCGAUAAGUAAAAUGAAAUGCAGAUUUUCGUGAAACAUCGAAACUUUGAACGCACAUUGCGCCCUCUGGUAUUCCAGAGGGCAUGCCUGUUUGAGCGUCAUUUCUCUCUCAAACCCUUGGGUUUGGUAUUGAGUGAUACUCUUAGUCGAACUAGGCGUUUGCUUGAAAAGUAUCGGCAUGAGUAGUACUGAAAAGUGCUUCAAGACUUUUUCAAAGUAUUAGGUUUAUCCAACUCGUUGAAAGGUUUAGUAGUAAAAUUUUAGUAUUAUUGGCUCGGCCUUACAACACAACAAACAAGUUUGACCUCAAAACAGGUAGGACUACCCCCUGAACUUAAGCAUAUCAAAA